GAUGAACGCUGGCGGCGUGCUUAACACAUGCAAGUCGAACGAAGCACUCUACUUGAUCUCUUCGGAGUGAUUGUUUUGUAACUGAGUGGCGGACGGGAGAGUAACGCGUGGGUAACCUGCCUCAUACAGGGGGAUAACAGUUGGAAACGACUGCUAAUACCGCAUAAGCGCACAGCAUCGCAUGAUGCAGUGUGAAAAACUCCGGUGGUAUGAGAUGGACCCGCGUCUGAUUAGCCAGUUGGUGGGGUAACGGCCUACCAAAGCGACGAUCAGGAGCCGACCUGAGAGGGUGACCGGCCACAUUGGGACUGAGACACGGCCCAAACUCCUACGGGAGGCAGCAGUGGGGAAUAUUGCACAAUGGGGGAAACCCUGAUGCAGCGACGCCGCGUGAGCGAAGAAGUAUUUCGGUAUGUAAAGCUCUAUCAGCAGGGAAGAAGAAAUGACGGUACCUGACUAAGAAGCACCGGCUAAACUCGUGCCAGCCGCCGCAGUAA
RNAcentral lists this ribosomal RNA (497 nucleotides) under uncultured bacterium. RNAcentral's name for it is "partial 16S ribosomal RNA". It matches the Rfam family "Bacterial small subunit ribosomal RNA", at positions 28 to 523 of the family's 1533-position model. The record is from RNAcentral.